RNAcentral lists this long non-coding RNA (660 nucleotides) under Gossypium raimondii (Peruvian cotton). Its description in RNAcentral is "long non-coding RNA (GRAI_LNC008775)". The record is from RNAcentral. Lineage: Eukaryota; Viridiplantae; Streptophyta; Magnoliopsida; Malvales; Malvaceae.
UUGAAAUACAGAAGAAAGCAAGGAGUUUAGUUGAUACAUGGAAAAAAAGAGUUCAGGUUGAGUUGGAUGCUAAAUACGGUCCAAAUCAGUCUGUUCCCUGGUCUGACGUUGCUAAAUGUGGAAUCAAGCACUAUAGACCUUCUGAGGUGAAGAGUUCAGCAACACAAUUCUCUGCAACUAAAACUGGUUUUGUUAAGCUUUUUCAAGGAGGGACUGGAACCAAGUCUGCUUCUGCAAUGCCGGUACCUAUGAAGGCAUCAACAUUGCCUGCUUCAGCCAGAACAAAGGCGCGGAAUACAUGGAAAAAAAAGAGUUCAGGUUGAGUUGGAUGCUAAAUACGGUCCAAAUCAGUCUGUUCCCUGGUCUGAUGUUGCUAAAUGUGGAAUCAAGCACUAUAGACCUUCUGAGGUUGCAGUGAAGAGUUCAGCAACACAAUUCUCUGCAACUAAAAUUGGUUUUGUUAAGCUUUUUCAAGGAGGGACUGCAACCAAGUCUGCUUCUGCAAUGCCGGUACCUAUGAAGGCAUCAACAUUGCCUGCUUCAGCCAGAACAAAGGCGCGGAAUGCUACUAUUGUUGGCACCUCUGAUCCUCAAACAAUCACAAGGGAUGAGAAAAUCAACAGUUCUAGUCAAUCCCACAACAAUACUCUGUCAUGUUCU